This is a long non-coding RNA of Mastomys coucha (southern multimammate mouse), 635 nucleotides long. RefSeq lists it as uncharacterized. The record is from RefSeq and is a predicted model, not a curated record. The transcript has 3 exons. NCBI's taxonomy places the organism in Eukaryota, Metazoa, Chordata, Mammalia, Rodentia, Muridae.
CUGGAGCUCCUAGAACAGAGCCUGGACAUUAGCUGUCGGGACGGUCACUGGAGGUCAAGGUCUACAGCAUUUAUUUGAACCAGUUACAUAUCUCCUUUUCAUAACGCUCCCUGGAGUUACAGUCACACAUGGUUACUUCAGCCUUCAUGAAAGCACACAGUGACAAGACUCUUUGAGAUGUGCUGUGGAUGACUGCAGUCGGUGGCUGGGUUCUACGGGGACAUUGCAUCUUAAAACAAAUGAUCAGAAAUAAUUCUUCCCUAAGACAAAUGGCCCUUUCCUCUUUCGUUGCCAAGGUGAUUCCUAUUCAACACCAGGGUGGGUCAUUCCUUUUGCAAGAGGCUUGCCUCAUCAGCUACACUGGAGCUCUGUCCUGCUUCCUGCGCCCUGCUGCCCGCUAGACCCCUGCCAAUGCCCUUAGGAGCCUGUGGGGCCUGGUGGAAGUGAACAGACUUUCUACCUGAGUCCAACAGAGCAGGAAUACCGGAGACCCCUGAGGCCGGAAGCUACAGAAUACAGGAUGGGGUAGACUGUUCUGAUCUCACAGUUAUAAGUGGAGCGCUGUUUGCAACAGCUGACAAACCGGGUGUACAGUCUAUGUGUGUCGCACGCACAAGUGUCAUUGUCAGCGCUUG